CCUUCGGGGGCUGAAUUUUGGGCGCGGGUGUGCCCGUGGCCUAUUUUUGGCACACGGAGGCCGCCCGCAAAGUCUGGGACCAUUCCGAGUCCGGCGGACGAACUUCGCCCACGCCCCCCACCAAGGCUAUAGCCCACCCGUUUUUUGGCCAUUUUUCCGCUGGGGGGUCUUGGCGCCCCGACCUUCGGGGGCUUAAUUUUGGGCGCGGGUGUGCCCGUGGCCUAUUUUUGGCACACGGAGGCCGCCCGCAAAGUCUGGGGCCAUUCCGAGUCCGGCGGACGAACUUCGCCCACGUCCCCCACCAAGGCUAUAGCCCACCCAUUUUUUGGCCAUUUUUCCGCUGGGGGGUCUUGGCGCCCCGACCUUCGGGGGCUGAUUUUUGGGCGCGGGUGUGCCCGUGGCCUAUUUUUGGCACACGGAGGCCGCCCGCAAAGUCUGGGGCCAUUCCGAGUCCGGCGGACGAACUUCGCCCACGCCCCCCACCAAGGCUAUAGCCCACCCGUUUUUUGGCCAUUUUUCCGCUGGGGGGUCUUGGCGCCCCGACCUUCGGGGGCUGAUUUUUGGGCGCGGGUGUGCCCGUGGCCUAUUUUUGGCACACGGAGGCCGCCCGCAAAGUCUGGGGCCAUUCCGAGUCCGGCGGACGAGCUUCGCCCACGCCCCCCACCAAGGCUAUAGCCCACCCGUUUUUUGGCCAUUUUUCAGCUGGGGGGUCUUGGCGCCCCGACCUUCGGGGGCUGAUUUUUGGGCGCGGGUGUGCCCGUGGCCUAUUUUUUGCACACGGAGGCCGCCCGCAAAGUCUGGGGCCAUUCCGAGUCCGGCGGACGAACUUCGCCCACGCCCCCCACCAAGGCUAUAGCCCACCCGUUUUUUGGCCAUUUUUCCGCUGGGGGGUCUUGGCUCCCCGACCUUCGGGGGCUGAUUUUUGGGCGCGGGUGUGCCCGUGGCCUAUUUUUGGCACACGGAGGCCGCCCGCAAAGUCUGGGGCCAUUCCGAGUCCGGCGGACGAACUUCGCCCACGCCCCCAACCAAGGCUAUAGCCCACCCGUUUUUUGGCCAUUUUUCCGCUGGGGGGUCUUGGCGCCCCGACCUUCGGGGGCUGAAUUUUGGGCGCGGGUGUGCCCGUGGCCUAUUUUUGGCACACGGAGGCCGCCCGCAAAGUCUGGGGCCAUUCCGAGUCCGGCGGACGAACUUCGCCCACGCCCCCCACCAAGGCUAUAGCCCACCCGUUUUUUGGCCAUUUUUCCGCUGGGGGGUCUUGGCGCCCCGACCUUCGGGGGCUGAUUUUUGGGCGCGGGUGUGCCCGUGGCCUAUUUUUGGCACACGGAGGCCGCCCGCAAAGUCUGGGGCCAUUGCGAGUCCGGCGGACGAACUUCGCCCACGCCCCCCACCAAGGCUAUAGCCCACCCGUUUUUUGGCCAUUUUUCCGCUGGGGGGUCUUGGCGCCCCGACCUUCGGGGGCUGAAUUUGGGGCGCGGGUGUGCCCGUGGCCUAUUUUUGGCACACGGAGGCCGCCCGCAAAGUCUGGGGCCAUUCCGAGUCCGGCGGACGAACUUCGCCCACGCCCCCCACCAAGGCUAUAGCCCACCCGUUUUUUGGCCAUUUUUCCGCUGGGGGGUCUUGGCGCCCCGACCUUCGGGGGCUGAAUUUUGGGCGCGGGUGUGCCCGUGGCCUAUUUUUGGCACACGGAGGCCGCCCGCAAAGUCUGGGGCCAUUCCGAGUCCGGCGCACGAACUUCGCCCACGCCCCCCACCAAGGCUAUAGCCCACCCGUUUUUUGGCCAUUUUUCCGCUGGGGGGGCUUGGCGCCCCGACCUUCGGGGGCUGAAUUUUGGGCGCGGGUGUGCCCGUGGCCUAUUUUUGGCACACGGAGGCCGCCCGCAAAGUCUGGGGCCAUUCCGAGUCCGGCGGACGAACUUCGCCCACGCCCCCCACCAAGGCUAUAGCCCACCCGUUUUUUGGCCAUUUUUCCGCUGGGGGGUCUUGGCUCCCCGACCUUCGGGGGCUGAUUUUUGGGCGCGGGUGUGCCCGUGGCCUAUUUUUGGCACACGGAGGCCGCCCGCAAAGUCUGGGGCCAUUGCGAGUCCGGCGGACGAACUUCGCCCACGCCCCCCACCAAGGCUAUAGCCCACCCGUUUUUUGGCCAUUUUUCCGCUGGGGGGUCUUGGCGCCCCGACCUUCGGGGGCUGAAUUUUGGGCGCGGGUGUGCCCGUGGCCUAUUUUUGGCACACGGAGGCCGCCCGCAAAGUCUGGGGCCAUUCCGAAUCCGGCGGACGAACUUCGCCCACGCCCCCCACCAAGGCUAUAGCCCACCCGUUUUUUGGCCAUUUUUCCGCUGGGGGGUCUUGGCGCCCCGACCUUCGGGGGCUGAAUUUUGGGGGCGGGUGUGCCCGUGGCCUAUUUUUGGCACACGGAGGCCGCCCGCAAAGUCUGGGGCCAUUCCGAGUCCGGCGGACGAGCUUCGCCCACGCCCCCCACCAAGGCUAUAGCCCACCCGUUUUUUGGCCAUUUUUCCGCUGGGGGGUCUUGGCGCCCCGACCUUCGGGGGCUUAAUUUUGGGCGCGGGUGUGCCCGUGGCCUAUUUUUGACACACGGAGGCCGCCCGCAAAGUCUGGGGCCAUUCCGAGUCCGGCGGACGAACUUCGCCCACGUCCCCCACCAAGGCUAUAGCCCACCCAUUUUUUGGCCAUUUUUCCGCUGGGGGGUCUUGGCGCCCCGACCUUCGGGGGCUGAUUUUUGGGCGCGGGUGUGCCCGUGGCCUAUUUUUGGCACACGGAGGCCGCCCACAAAGUCUGGGGCCAUUCCGAGUCCGGCGGACGAACUUCGCCCACGCCCCCCACCAAGGCUAUAGCCCACCCGUUUUUUGGCCAUUUUUCCGCUGGGGGGUCUUGGCGCCCG
Molecule: long non-coding RNA, 2894 nt
Filed under: Citrus x clementina
Lineage: Eukaryota; Viridiplantae; Streptophyta; Magnoliopsida; Sapindales; Rutaceae
Description: Citrus clementina (C. clementina) long non-coding RNA (CCLE_LNC005901)
Source: RNAcentral